UUACGAUCAUAUCGAGUUGUAACACUAGUUCCCGUACGAUCACCGAAGUUAAGCAACAUCGAGACUGGUCACUACCUCGAUGGAUGACUACUUGAGAAUACCCGGAGCUGUU
Molecule: non-coding RNA, 112 nt
Organism: Acanthosepion pharaonis
Lineage: Eukaryota; Metazoa; Mollusca; Cephalopoda; Sepiida; Sepiidae
Source: the annotation of a GenBank genome assembly